CCUAGGGUGGCUGCAGUGAGGAAUAUUGGUCAAUGGGCGGAAGCCUGAACCAGCCAAGUAGCGUGCAGGAUGACGGCCCUACGGGUUGUAAACUGCUUUUAUACGGGAAUAACGCGCCUUACGUGUAGGGCUUUGCAUGUACCGUAUGAAUAAGGACCGGCUAAUUCCGUGCCAGCAGCCGCGGUAAUACGGAGGGUCCGGGCGUUCUCCGGAUUUUUGGGGUUUAAAGGGAGCGUAGGCCGCAUGUCAAGCGGUCUUUGAAAUGUCCGGGCUCAACCCGGGCCUUGCAGCGCGAACUGGCGUGCUUGAGUCCGCGGAAAGCAGGCGGAAUUCGUCGUGUAGCGGUGAAAUGCUUAGAUAUGACGAAGAACCCCGAUUGCGAAGGCAGCUUGCUGCAGCGGAACUGACGCUGAUGCUCGAAAGCGCGGGUAUCGAACAGGAUUAGAUACCCGGGUAGUC
Molecule: ribosomal RNA, 459 nt
Filed under: uncultured bacterium
Lineage: Bacteria
Description: partial 16S ribosomal RNA
Rfam family: Bacterial small subunit ribosomal RNA
Source: RNAcentral